GAACUAGCUCAGCUGGUACAGCAUGAGACUCUGAAUCUCAGGGUUGUGGGUUUGCGCCCCCUUUUGGGUGAGAUUCC
Non-coding RNA from Podarcis lilfordi (Lilford's wall lizard), 77 nucleotides. The record is from the annotation of a GenBank genome assembly. NCBI's taxonomy places the organism in Eukaryota, Metazoa, Chordata, Lepidosauria, Squamata, Lacertidae.